This 28-nucleotide small RNA is filed under the name Bombyx mori (domestic silkworm). RNAcentral describes it as "ovarian small RNA-9592". Lineage: Eukaryota; Metazoa; Arthropoda; Insecta; Lepidoptera; Bombycidae. The record is from RNAcentral.
UUCCGCCGAGUCCGCUGCCGAAUGCAAU